Ornithodoros turicata is the source of this 831-nucleotide long non-coding RNA. RefSeq lists it as uncharacterized. The transcript is spliced from 3 exons. The record is from RefSeq and is a predicted model, not a curated record. NCBI's taxonomy places the organism in Eukaryota, Metazoa, Arthropoda, Arachnida, Ixodida, Argasidae.
UUGACCGCCCAAGCCAGACAAAAGGAAAGCACACGUGUCGUCUGCUUACCCCCUGGUAUCACUUUCCUCCUUUCUGGCUUGGGCGGCAAACAGUGGCUGCAAAAGCGCUGGGUGCUGGGUGUGAGGGUGGCUGGGAAACAGUGUAUGGUGUCUUUGGAAGCGGACCACGGUUAGUGUGUGGAGUCUCCAAUAUUUCCUGGUCACCCCUUAUGGAAAUGCCGCACACCCUACAUGGAAGCCAACUGACUCUCAUAACAAGGACACCGGGACACACCGGAAACUUUUGAUGCACCGGGGUUCCGCUCGAAUGAUGUGCCUGACGGUCAGGAAUGCAAUAGUUGCAGGUUGCUUGUACUGGACGAUCCAUUUUGAGCUUUUGGAGUAGGGGCUUUGGAAGGCGCAUCUGAACAAAGUCACAGCGUGAGUGUGGAACAAGGAGAUGAACCACCGCGAUGUUAUGGUGGGCUCUGAGAAUCCAUUUGGUUCUCCUGCUACAGUGAUGACAGGACUGAAGCGUCACAAGGGCGAUGCGAUCAGCAAUCCCAAAAAGGCUAGCAAAAAUGUGGCACCGGUUGAUGUACUUCACGGGAAAGACAAUGUAGUUGCUCAAGCGUUUAUAGUUGAUACCACGUCAAGAAGUCGUGCACAAAAUAUUUCCCAUCAGCGGGGAAAAGGGCCAACGAGGAAGAAAGCGGUUUUGCACAUUCCCUUUCUUAGGCCAAAGAAAUAACUGGACACGUAGCGUGCUCAACUGGAGUGUAACUACUAGACCACCUAGCAGUCCUAACUGUAAACAGCUAAAAAGAUGGGUCAAUAAAAACGCUAUCUCUC